AUGAAUGUUGGAUGAUCCUUAGCCCUUGAUAGAGAUCAGAUACAGAGUUAUGGCAUGAGAUAGCCAUACCAGGUCGCCCCUGGAUAGGCCAGGUCGCUCCUGGUACUAUGGACAGAGCAGAGUUAAGAGUAGACCAGGUGAUGACAUAGUCUCCUUGGCACAGUUGGUCAUGUUAUGAUAUCAGAGAUAAGAGUAGACCAGGUGAUGACAUAGUCUCCUUGGCACAGUUGGUC
RNAcentral lists this long non-coding RNA (233 nucleotides) under Manihot esculenta (cassava). Its description in RNAcentral is "long non-coding RNA (MESC_LNC012721)". Lineage: Eukaryota; Viridiplantae; Streptophyta; Magnoliopsida; Malpighiales; Euphorbiaceae. The record is from RNAcentral.